CGGUUCGUAGAGAUUCGGCUAGGGUGCCUUUCCGUCGUGCGGUUAGGCUGUUUCCUUGAGGAAAUUGUGGCGUUCAAAGCAAUUGAAUGAGCAAAGUAGCAUCGGAAAACAUCGUAUGCCCUCUCUGCCGAAGAAGUGAGGUAGAGAGGGAAUGUUGGAUAGGGGUGUCUGGGGGCGUGGGUAUUUGCCGGAGAGAGGUGAAAUUUUUAGACCCGGCAAGGACCGUCGGAUGCGAAAGCGCUCGCCCAAGGCAUUCCCUUUAUCAAGGACGAGGGCUGGGGGAUCGAAGACGAUUAGAUACCGUCCGUAGUCCCAGCAGUAAACUAUGCCGACUCGAUGUUCGGUAGGAGAAGAAAACUUUACUGGGUAUCGGAAGAGAAAUCGAAGUCUCUGGGCCCCGGGGGGAGUAUUGUCGCAAGACGGAAACUUAAAGGAAUUGACGGAAGGGCACCACCAGGAGUGGAGCCUGCGGCUUAAUUCGACUCAACGCGGGAAAACUCACCAGGCCAGAACAUUGUUGUGAUAGUCGGGUGAAAAGACCUUUCUAGAUUCUAUGGGUGGUGGUGCAUGGCCGUUCUUAGUCGGUGGGGUGACUUGUCUGGUUAAUUCCGAUAACGGACGAGACCUCGACUGGCCGGUUUGGGCGUUCCUUUACGAGGGCGACGUUCUUUUCGGUAGGACAACGG
RNAcentral lists this ribosomal RNA (686 nucleotides) under uncultured eukaryote. Its description in RNAcentral is "bacterial SSU rRNA". It matches the Rfam family "Eukaryotic small subunit ribosomal RNA", at positions 702 to 1425 of the family's 1831-position model. The record is from RNAcentral.